UGCCAACCAGCUAGCCCACCCCAACAAUAAACAACAACCCAAUAUUAAUAACCCCUAAUACAUUACCUCCCUAUUUAACCAAACCAUUUUACCCCCUGAGUACGGGCGACAGAAAAG
Molecule: ribosomal RNA, 117 nt
Filed under: Psenopsis shojimai (silvery medusafish)
Lineage: Eukaryota; Metazoa; Chordata; Actinopteri; Scombriformes; Centrolophidae
Description: partial 16S rRNA
Source: RNAcentral